RNAcentral lists this unclassified non-coding RNA (4652 nucleotides) under Rhopalosiphum maidis (corn leaf aphid). RNAcentral's name for it is "uncharacterized LOC113557364, transcript variant X1". Lineage: Eukaryota; Metazoa; Arthropoda; Insecta; Hemiptera; Aphididae. The record is from RNAcentral.
AAAUGAUUGUUCGGGUUGGCAGAAACAAAUGGUGACUACAUGUUUUAAAAAUGUCUGUACGUGUAUCAUUAGUUUUCACUAUUUCUGCAAUAGUAUUAAUCAACCCUAUAACAGCCACUGAUGAAAUAUAUAUAUCACCCUUCAUCUAUGAUGUACACAAUAAUAGUGAUAUAGUAAUUCAAAUAAAGGGAUUGACAUCAACAAUGGACAUGAUAAAAUCAAUUACAUGCGAUGUAAUCGAUUUGGAUUCCCAAAUCAUUAUGAAAACUGAUUUAAAUCUAAGUAACGAAUUUACGAUAAUGGCACGAUUCGAAAUUCCAACAGCCUUAGGUGCUUUUAAGAUACAAUGUUCCAAAUUUGGUUCACUUAUGAACUUCUAUGGUAACUUUUUACUUGUCAAUAGUCUACAUUUGAUAAUCGGAAACGUUGAACCAAAUUCAAUAAAACUAGGAGAAAGUGUUUCAUUCAAACUGGAAAUAUUUAACUUGAGUGAACCUGUUCCUUUAUUAUGUCAUUUAACUGAUGGAGAAGAUUAUAUCAUUUUACCAACAAACUCGAUCAAUGGAAAUAAACUAUCUACAUGGAUUACAUGCCCUGAGUAUAAACUUAAUAGAGCCACUGAAUACCAAAUAACAGUCGUGUAUUCAACGGAUGCAAUUGAUGCAAUGUUAAGUUCGAACAAUUUCAAAGUAGUGACGGUUCAGGCCGAUCGUCCAAAAGUGAUGAAAUCUGGAUACACUAAAGAUUUGAGAACUAUUUGGUUUCAAUUUGAUCAAAAUAUAGAGGGACCAGAUUCGUGUGAUGCUAUUUUCACAUCAAAUACAUUAAAUCAAUUUGGUCACGACGCUGUUUGUUGGUUUUCCUCUGAUCAUUUAACGGUACUCCUAGGAAAUGUAAAAACUAUUAAAGAAAAUAAACUUCAUGUUCAAUUUUCUUCAGACAAUAAUAUAAAGAGUUACCAAUCGUUGCCGAAUUUGAGUUCAGCGAUGUUAAAUAUUGAAAUGAUUGUACCAAUAAUUCCUUCCGAGGUUACAUUGCCGAUGUAUUGGAUGAAUGGGCCUCCACAAUUUUGUAAUGUUGAUGAUGGACACAUUCUUGGAACACAAUCUUCUGACCAAUCUAUAUAUGAUUGUACUGGUUCUCAAGUUAUAAGUGUUUCUACCUUUGGCUCACCUAUGCUCAGAUUUAGUCCAAUAUUAAGCUUUAAUGACCUCUCAAACUCGGCACACAUUUCAAUAGACGAAUCUUCACAUCGGUCUUCUUUAGUGAGGAAUAGUGUCAGAGGUCUUGUGAUAAUGAUAAAUCGACAAAACUUCACAAACAGCAUUUGUUUGAAUAGUGCUUUGAUGUUGCCGUACGUAGAAUAUACUUUAGAAUUAUCGGGAACAAAUAUUUUAAACCAGUCUGGCUUAAAAAGCCAAUUCAAAUUCAAAUUAAUUGAAACCCAUGGCAUUAAAUCCCAACCAAAAUUGCAAAUAAUGGCACGUCCAAUCGUUGCAAUUGGAUCUGAAGCUAUAUUUGAAACUUUGUUAUAUCCUGUUUGCGGAGAUCCAAUCGAAGAUGAUUAUAAUAAUUUACAAUAUAGAUGGUAUUUUAUAACCGAAAACAGUAAAUACAAUAUUAUCGGAGUGAAUGGUCCAGUAUUGAUAUUAGAUACAAAAGGACUAAUUCGAGGCAAAAAUUAUACAAUCGGUUGUGAAUUGCAUAAUGAUAUCGUUUUCCCGGGAAAAAAAACUACAGCAAUGGCAAAGGAUGAAAUCGAUUUUAGAAUUGAAUCGUUUUUUGCUAAAACAAUUAUUGUGCCACAGCAAAUUGUGGUUGGAUUUGGUCGAUCCAUUCACUUAAAAAUAAAACAUCAAGAUUAUGUCACAACAGAAAAUGUGCAAUAUAAAUGGCUUUGCAAAACAACUAAUGGUGAUGAUUGCUUAAUCGUUGGAAAUUAUCCUGCAUUAAAAGAAGCAAUGGAUGAAAUAUCAUCAUCAACAUCUUCAGAAUUAAUAAUUCGUGAAUUAACAUUACAGCCAGGAAGGUAUUACUUUGUGGUUCAAAUAUCAUUAGGUGGCGUUCCAAUAGACUCUGCCGUAUCCGUGGUUGUAGUUUCUUUUGAAUCUGGUCCACAUAUAAUGUUUUAUUGGCCAGAUGGAAAUUUUAACCCAAGUAUACCUAUACUACCCGGAAGUAGUAUUGUUAUGGCUGCUACUGUUUCCUUUUUAACUGCCGGUUGCUCGACUUCUUGGACUACGUCAUCAGAUUCUGGGUACAGCUAUUUAACGUCAAAAGAUAUGGGUGGAAAAAAUAAAAUUAUUAGAGAAUUUAUGUCUGCUCGAAAUGAAUCAUUUUCGCGCAAUAUUCGUAUUGCAGUAACAUUGCCAAAUAAAAUUAAUCAAAAUACAGAUUUCUUACUGAAACUAAAUAUCCACUGUGCGUCUUUGAAACAUUCAAUGUUUGGGGUUAUACCAAUUUCAAUAGUUGCUCCACCACGAACAUCGAAACUAGAAGUAACACCAAAAGAAGGAAUUGGUAUUUUAACUAAGUUCAAAUUUUACACCGAUACAGCAUAUGACAAAAAAUCAAGUCAUCCAAUCCGAUAUAGUUUUGGAUUUUAUAUACCAUCAUUAACAACCGUUCCAAUAUAUUUUUAUACAUCAACUUUCAGGUUGCAAGCAGAAACAAUUCUUCCGUCAGUAAAUUUAGAUAUAUCAAGGAUUAAAACUAUUUUAAAAGUAUGCAAUGUUUACGAAAGUUGUAGUACGAUUGAAGGGCCAGAAAUAUCUGUCCAUCAUCCAACACAGAUUUCAGAUGAAGAUAUAACAUACUUUGAACAAAAAUACAGACGUAUGUUAGUAAAACAAAUGCUAACUGAAUCGGAAGCAUACAUGUUUAUUUAUAUGACAACAUUAAAAACUUUCAAAGUUGAAGUAUAUGAAAAAACUUCUAAUGAACUAUUUAAUCUUAUUUCAAUGUAUACGAAUAAUGAUAUUAUAGAAAGCAUAUCCUAUGGUAUAGAAUAUAUUCCGUUUGGACUGGCUCUUUUAGAUUCAAUUUCUCGAACUUUUUUUGUACUUCCAAAGUUCAAUAAUUUAGUUGUCUCACAAGCGUUGGUAUCAUUACGAGAUCGAAUAUACGCAAAAUUAAUAGCUUACGAUAACGAGCCAACGUCAAAUAACAUAAAUAACAUGAGAUACAUCUUAAAAAAUGUAAAUUCUAAUAUGCAUAAUAUUUACUCAAAAACAGAGAUAAACACCGAAGUGGUGGAAUCAUUUUUACAUGUCUCAGAAAUUGUGAUUUUAAACAAGGAUGAUGGACCUGACGGAUUAAAUGAAAAAAAAAAAUUACUUGAUAGUGUGGAAAAUUAUGCUAAACAUAUUUGUUUGACAAUGAAUGAAGAACAAGAAGUAUAUGUGGGAUCAUUAGUUGGAAGUUUCAGCGUACGACAAGUAAAUAGUCUCGGUUUAAAAGAACCAUCCAUUGAGUUACCUACUUGUAAUUCGAAUUUCCACAAAAAAUGCAUUAAACAAAGAUCUAAGGUUACGAUUAACAAGAACCUUCUUUUUUCUCAUAGAACUGAGUUUCCAUUAUGUUUUAUGGGUUUUCACUUUUAUGACGAUUUUUUCACCCAAGUGUAUGGAAAUAAAGGACAAUUUCUUAAGAGGCAUAGCGGAUUAUAUGGAUUUCAUAUAAUGAAGAUAAAUAAUAAUAAAAAAUCCAACUAUGAAAAUGUAGUAUCAAAUCCAUCGAAUAUAAUAAAUAUUAUUGAAAUUCCAUUACAGUCGACAACUGAUACUCAACUAGAAUGUAGAUAUUGGAACGGUAUAUUAGGUUGGACUAAUGAAGGAUGUAAGUUUCUUGGCGUUGUCACAAAAUCAUUUAAUCAAUAUGCUAUGUGUGAAUGUCCAACAUUUAAAUAUUACGGAAUAUUUUCUGUAGAUGUUACAAAUGUUUUAUUUGAUAAUUCUGUAUCGGAUUCAACACAUAACACAAUCGUUUAUGUUAAUAAAAACAAGAAUCAGUUUUUUAAUAAUUCUUCAAUUACUCAAAGAUCUCUUUCUGAUAUAUGUGUUGCUUUCAAAGUAAAUGGGGAUCCUGCUGAUUUAUAUGAUCAAAAUAUUAGGGAUUUAGAAAAUUCUUUAAGUCGACAAUUAACGGAAAAAAUUAUAUUACUUUCUUCAGUUUUGAAAGAAUUAAAUUUGAUUAUGAGUGAACCGAUGUACAUAACUUUACAUUUAAUGCAAAAUGUAAAUAUUACUACAGAUGAAUCUAUUCACGACCUCGUUAAAAAAUUAGCAGAUGGAUCUUUAAUUUUAUACGAUUUGCAUAGAUUUAGAUUAUAUGUACCAGAACAACCAUUACGAAUUAUUCAGCCACGUAACUUGGAGUUUAGCGAAACGGGAAAAAAUAUUGCUUUGUUCUUCGCCAUAUUUGUCGCGUUUCUCGCCUGCUUUGUGUUUGGUUCAAUAUUAUUCAAACGACAUCAACUGCUAACCGACAUUUCAGAUGUUCAAGUAAACAAAAUUUAAAAACAAAAGAUCCUAUUAGACGACCAAAAUAUAAAAAAUUGGAAUCCACUGAACUAAUUGAACAAAAUACAGCUUCGGAACAAAGAUUUAACCAUUUUAAAAACAAUAUAGAACUUUCGGAUUCUGGUAUUACUU